UAGAAACAAUGUAAACAUUUGCCAUCCAACUCAUGGUUAAUAGAAAAACUUUUGAUUGUCUUACUAUGAAGUAGUCCUGUUUGGGAGAUUAAGCACCACACUGCAUAACAAGUUUGAGAAGCUGGGUGUGGCUUCCUUGACUGGCUGCAGCCCAGCAACAGCUCAAAACCCCCUUCAAUGGCUGCAUGAUUGUUUCCGCCUUGUCCGAGCUCCAGCUCUGCUGCCUGACCAGCAUCCUGCAACUCAGCCACCAGCCAUACUUCCUCCUGGGAAACAUCAACCACUUCACACUCACCUGAGCCUCCACCUUCACCUCAGCCACCAUGCUCCAGGAUCACAAAACCUUCCUCCACUACUCCGGGAACCUGAGCAACUUUAA
Acanthopagrus latus (yellowfin seabream) is the source of this 379-nucleotide long non-coding RNA. RefSeq lists it as uncharacterized. NCBI's taxonomy places the organism in Eukaryota, Metazoa, Chordata, Actinopteri, Spariformes, Sparidae. The transcript has 3 exons. The record is from RefSeq and is a predicted model, not a curated record.